Molecule: ribosomal RNA, 918 nt
Filed under: Triticum aestivum (bread wheat)
Lineage: Eukaryota; Viridiplantae; Streptophyta; Magnoliopsida; Poales; Poaceae
Description: partial small subunit ribosomal RNA
Source: RNAcentral
AUGAUAUAUGGAUCCAUGAAAAAUUCAAACAUCUAUUUUAGCCAACUGAACACAUUGGCUGUGCAACUAAACAUGCAUGCUGGACAACUGAUAUAUGCAGAGGGAGCAGAAAAAUCUGAAAAGAGCUCCUUGCGAAACGGAAACCUACAGAUCAUUGCAACAAAACAAAAAGGGAAAAGGGAGUGUGUGGCAGCAUCCAAAAACAAGGGAAAAAUGCUUGAUCUCAAUGAGUUGCCUCCAGAUCUCAAUGAGCUUCCUCAUGAUAUGGAUCAGCAGCAUCCCAGCAUGCAACAAGGAAACUGCACAGAAAACGGUCGAUCUGUUUACUACACGCAGGCAAGUCGUGAUGGUAACCCUACGGGCCAUGACAAUGUGGCAGGCCAGUCAUCAGCCCGUGGUGCCCCUGUAGUGGUGUCUUUGCAGUCAGAGAGCCAUACUCUUGAUGACACAGGAACCGAGGCAAACGUUCCUGGUCCAACCAGGACUGAGCUGGAAGCUGGGGCUUUUGACAGAGCUGUGCAAGUAGAAGAAGGAGAGGAUGAGGACGGUGAUGCCAACCCUCAAAGACCUCCUCCCCCGCCAGGCCCAACUAGCAGUGCCCUUUGUGCUACUCCCAAUGGACCUACAGGCAGGACUCAGGGGGCUCAUAACCCAGGCGACUACAAUCCAAGUACCAUGACAGGCCGUGCUACUGCAGGUGAUCGUGACGGUCCUACUGCCCCGUUGGAGGCUGCAUCCCUUGCACAAGCUUCUGAUGAUUUUGUGCCCAGGGAUCCUCCAAGGUCUACUACAAAGGGUAGGGCAAAGAGUCGACGGUACAAAUCGGCGCUGGAGCUACACCCAAAGAAGAAAAACAAAUGCAGCCAGUGCCAAUCUACAGAGGACACUGCUGGUGUGUGUCCACAGAGGCUCCUAUGA